This 459-nucleotide ribosomal RNA is filed under the name uncultured bacterium. RNAcentral describes it as "partial 16S ribosomal RNA". It matches the Rfam family "Bacterial small subunit ribosomal RNA", at positions 338 to 795 of the family's 1533-position model. The record is from RNAcentral.
CCUCCGGGAGGCAGCAGUGAGGAAUAUUGGUCAAUGGGCGCGAGCCUGAACCAGCCAAGUCGCGUGAGGGAAGACGGUCCUAUGGAUUGUAAACCUCUUUUGUCGGGGAGCAAACGACGCCACGCGAGGCGUUCCGAGAGUAACCGAAGAAAAAGCAUCGGCGAACUCCGUGCCAGCAGCCGCGGUUAUACGGAGGAUGCGAGCGUUAUCCGGAUUUAUUUGGUUUAAAGGGGUAGCAGGCGGAAGAUCAAGUCAGCGGUAAAAUUGAGAGGCUCAACCUCUUCGAGCCGUUGAAACUGGUUUUCUUGAGUGAGCGAGAAGUAUGCGGAAUGCGUGGGGUAGCGGUGAAAUGCAUAGAUAUCACGCAGAACUCCGAUUGCGAAGGCAGCAUACCGGCGCUCAACUGACGCUCAUGCACGAAAGUGUGGGUAUCGAACAGGAUUAGAUACCCUUGUAGUC